AUGGUGUGCGCUCCAGAGAGGAUGACCAGGUCCUCCACGUCAAGGCCCUUGACGACAAAGCUGUCCACGAGGUCGCUGAGGUUGGAUGCGGGCGGGGCGAGGAACUUGAGCGGCUCGGAGGCGUUGGAGAAGGUGCCGUCGCGGCGGCCGGAUGGCACCUCGAAGUCCACCUUGCCGGCGCUGAGGAUGCAGGACGCGUCGCGGGCCGAAAAGGCGAUGAUGUCGGCGCAUGAGACAACGUCUGGGCAGGCCGCCUCGAGGGCAUCCUUGAUGGUGUCGAUCAGCUCGAAGCCGCGCAGGGAGGGGUUGUUGGGCGGGCUGAGCUUCUCUGGCGUCGGGCUGAACGGGGUCGGGUCCAGGAGGACCGAAGCAUCACAACCCUAG
This 384-nucleotide ribosomal RNA is filed under the name Triticum aestivum (bread wheat). RNAcentral's name for it is "partial small subunit ribosomal RNA". Lineage: Eukaryota; Viridiplantae; Streptophyta; Magnoliopsida; Poales; Poaceae. The record is from RNAcentral.